Molecule: long non-coding RNA, 630 nt
Filed under: Papio anubis (olive baboon)
Lineage: Eukaryota; Metazoa; Chordata; Mammalia; Primates; Cercopithecidae
Description: lncRNA (ENSPANG00000051148.1)
Source: RNAcentral
AUGGCUGGAACCCUGGCAGAGAGGAGCCUGGAGUGUCGAAAGAGGGGCAUCACAGAACAGAUGCAUCCUACAAACUGGAGGACUCCGAGCUUGGGGAAGAGACAGUUAAAGCUUCCCCGUGAGAGCGAGUUAUAUCAUGCAGCGCCAGUGCCAGGUCAGCAGUCUGGCUGGAGCUGGACCGGCUGGUGGCGCCAGGCAGUGCCAAGCACCCCUGGCAGCCCUGCAGAGGGUUCUCAAAUCCAGAUUUCAUUCUGCAGUCCCGGCAGUGCUUUGACGACUGCCUCACUAAAGGAAGCUAAAAGCUGUGCCGAUGCCUCCCAGACGAGCCUCGUUGGAAGCACAGAACCUUCACGACUCGGAGCCGCUGACACGGUGACAAAGGGAGCCCUGCUCAGAGAGGAUUAUUGGCAACUGGCACCACCCCCACGUCUGGAGGAGGGACGUUUCUAGGAUGACCCUCAGAGUGGAAAAAUAGCCGAGAUAACAAAAUGUAUCUACCCUCUCCAAGAGUGUAAACUAACCUGGUGGCUGGAAAAAACAAACAAACAAACAAACAAACAAAGAUCUGUGAAGAAAGAUCUGACUUUUCAACUGGCACAUACCGUUCCUUGAAACAGAGGUGAUAAACAG